UACGUAGGGUGCAAGCGUUACCCGGAAUCACUGGGUUUAAAGGGUGCGUAGGCGGACUGGUAAGUCAGAGGUUAAAGAUUCCCGCUUAACGGGAAAGCGGCCUUUGAUACUGUCAGUCUUGAGAGCGGUUGAGGUGCGCGGAAUAAAUGGUGUAGCGGUGAAAUGCGUAGAUAUCACUUAGAACACCGAUUGCGAAGGCAGCGCGCUAAGCCGUUUCUGACGCUCAGGCACGAAAGCGUGGGGAGCAAACAGG
This 253-nucleotide ribosomal RNA is filed under the name uncultured bacterium. RNAcentral describes it as "partial 16S ribosomal RNA". It matches the Rfam family "Bacterial small subunit ribosomal RNA", at positions 524 to 776 of the family's 1533-position model. The record is from RNAcentral.